AGUUGAAGCCGAAGAAGAAAGGCACUCGAGGGCGGCAGAAGCCAUUUUGUAUCGAGCGUUGUUGGAAGAAAAAAGUGAGAACAUCGUGUUCGAAAAGAAUCGUCUGAACCCUUUUACAGAUAUAAUUCCAAGUGAGAAGGUGAGCUCGGCGGCGUACUGUGUGAAAACUGUUUGUUUUUUCGAAAGAAGGCGAGCACUCGUCGUCAUCAUGAGUUACGGAAGGCCUCCGCCCGACGUCGACGGCAUGACUUCUCUCAAAGUGGACAACCUGACGUACCGAACCACACCGGAGACCCUUCGGCACGUAUUCGAGAAGUAUGGCCGCGUCGGGGACGUGUACAUCCCGCGAGACCGCUAUUCCAAAGACAGCCGCGGCUUCGCUUUUGUCCGCUUCCACGACAAGCGCGACGCCGAGGACGCCAUGGACGCCAUGGACGGCGCCCUCCUGGACGGACGCGAGCUGCGGGUGCAGAUGGCCCGCUAUGGACGACCCCCGGAUUCGCAUUACGGCGGUGGCGGACGGCGAGGAAGUGGCGGGGGUGGAGGAGGAUGUGGAGGAGGAGGAGGAGGAGGAGGGCCGCCCAGGAGGUAUGGUGGCUCUAGUCGCCGAAGCAGAAGCCCUCGACCCCGAAGACGCAGCCGAUCUCGCAGCAGGUCCCGCUCUCGCUCCCGAAGCAGAUCCCGUUACAGCCGCUCCCGCUCCAGGUCCUACUCCAGAUCCAAGUCCCGCUCCCCCAGGAACAAGAAGCCCAACGCCAAGUCCAGGUCCCGGUCCCGCUCUAGGUCCGCCAGCCGUUCUGCCUCCCCUCCAAAAAGAGGCUCUGGGUCCAGAUCUAAAAGCCCACCUAAGUCGCCCGCCAGGAACGGAGGAGAAUCGCCCUAGUUGUCAGCAACAAGGUGAAACACGGAUGAUGAGGUUCCUGGACAAGAAGUUGCUUGAUCCUGAAGGUUGUCCUCACAGCUUCUGCGUCUUUUUUUUUUUCUUCUUUUUUUCUUCUUUUUGGUUUCACCCCUUCGCUCUCAAGCGAUGGGGCCAGUAUUGCAAGGAACGUUUACUGUUCUGAGGUUUCUAGCAGUCUGUCCACUUGCUGUCCUUUCUGGACUCCGAAGCAUUCAGAGUUAGUGUGAUUUAAUACAUUUAAAGCUUAAUAAUGUUAUAGUCUGCUGUUAUCGUCAUGAGCUUUUUUUAUUUUCAAUAUUUUGUCUUUUGUGCACUAGGCGCAGUUGUGUAGCAGGUGUUGCUAAGGUGUUGCUGUGUGUUGCUGGUGUGUUGCUGUGUCCAGAACGCUGCAGUAUUCUUCCCUCAGCGGUUUUUUACUUGCACCAACUGGAGCUGUGCUGCGGCAACCUGGAAGCUCUGCAGAGCCAUUUUGGUCAACUUAAACUAUUGUAUUACACACAAGCUUAAACAUCCAGCACGUAAAGCUUACUGCGGUAUUUUGGAAAUGAAAAUGAGCACUCAACAGAUGUGUGUGUAUACAAUACCCAGAAAAAGUUGGAUAUAACUCAUUUGGGACGAACCUAAAAUGCGUUGUAACCUUUAUAGGUGAACUUAGUUUGAAUCAGAUUUGAACCCCUAACCACUCUUCUAUUGUGCUACCACAAGAGAUGAGCAAUAGACUAAAUUUAAGCGUAAGUUAGGUUUAAUGUAGGUUUUGAAUUUUUAUUUUUUUUUGGUAGUAAUUUGAUGGCAGAUUUAUUUAUUUAUUAAUGGCUGCAUGGCCAUCCAUCCAUUUUUCUACACCACGUACCCUGUUGAGGGUUGCUGAACCCUAUCCCAGCUGACUUUUGGCAAGAGGUGGCGUUACACCCUGGAUUGGUCGCCAGUCAAUCACAGUGCAUGGAGAGAACCAAUCUCAUUCACGCUGUCACUGAGUGGAGCCACUACACCGUUUUUGUUUAAAGGCUGACCAAAACACAAACGCUGUCCUACAUUUUCAACUCAAUUGUAAUAUUAGUUCCAUGAGAUUUCACAAUUGUUCUUCUCCAUUGCGGGCAAGCGAUAUAGACCAUUUGAUGGUUAUAAAUGAUAGUAGGGAGGUUUCUUUCAGGGGCCAGAACAGUGAUCGACUAUUGCUGACCUAAACUGAAAUCAUGGCAAAAACUUGUCUGGGGUUGUGCAGACAGAUUUAUCCCAAAAGGUGUUGUUUUCGUCAACGUAAAUUGUUGCACAGUGAAGACUACAAGACGUAAUCGCAACUUUCUGAAGGGCCAGACUGGGUUCACGGGGUUUUUGGAAGGCACAUUCCCAAAGGUACAGUAUGUCUUAAAUGGUUGGGUUGUCUUUGAAUUUACUCAAAUUAAUGGAUAGCCUGCUAGUAGCUCUUACAGCACGCUACCCAUUUCAGCAUCCAAGGAGCACAUCAAUGCCAUUAAUCCAAGCAACGGAAAAGUCAAGUUAGCCUCAAUGAUCAAGUUAACUUUGUCUGGUUUAUUUUUUUGGGACUUUUAUGGAAAGUUAAACUAUGACCGGUAUUCCCUCUCCCAGUUUAUCUCAACCAUCUUUGACUGAAAAAUUCAUUUCAUCAAAGAUCACUUGAGCUUUUGUGCUGACUUGGAGAAUGCUGUAAAAUGUAAGACGACUAAGCAAAUAUGUCACGAGUAUGUGAUGAUCUCAUAUAAGCUAAAUAUAUAGAGUAAUAGUUUUACCCUAAACCAAAAAUUUGGUGUAAUUCCAUAAAGGUUAAGAAGAAAAACAGAAAAGCCAUAGAAACCACCCACAGUCUAGACUGGAGAAUAUUGUGAAACAGUUCCCGAGACAAGUCAUAUAUGACGCUUUGCCUUCCAGCGAGCUCAUAAUGCCAAAAAAGACGUGACGCAGUUUCGGGACAAACCGUACAAUGAACAAUAUCAGCUCUACAUUUUCCAUGAAAUAACAUACAGGUUAAAGUUCGUGCUGAAUUUGAACGGAACCCUCUAAUUUUGCUGGUAAUCGCCAAACUUUGACCCAAGGUAUAUUUUGUUAGCAACGUCAGCCUGUGCCUGAAGCGAGAU
Molecule: RNA transcript, 2994 nt
Organism: Phycodurus eques (leafy seadragon)
Lineage: Eukaryota; Metazoa; Chordata; Actinopteri; Syngnathiformes; Syngnathidae
Gene name: serine/arginine-rich splicing factor 2-like
Exons: 4
Source: RefSeq, a predicted model, not a curated record